AACAGCAAGUGGUGAGUCCUGGGGCUAGCUGGUUUGGGAAAUAUUCUGGGUCCCAGCCACAGUAACUUUCAUCUCCCAGAUAUUUUGGGGUAUUGGGAACCUGAGUAAAAGAAGAUUGAGGGAAACUGCUGAUAAAGAAAGCAAGAUCUAGCAGAUCUAGCUAUGUUGCUGAGAUGGGACAAGAUUGAAAAAGCAUAAGCUUGGAGCUCACCAGACUUUUCACCAUGUAUUCCUGACAUUAGUAGGAUGUUAUCACAUUAUCAUUGUUGUCAGAAUCAAUUUCUUUUGCUAAUGGUUUUGUUUAUGAGAUGAAAGGCAAGUUGGUAAGUAUAUAAAGGAAAUCGAAGAGAAUAGUCAGAAAAGCCAAAGGAAGAAAUGAGAAGAAAUAUGGGGAUGAUAUGAUGGUCUAUAAACUUUUUAUGCUGGAAGUUUGAAUUUAUCCAUCUCACAGUAUAAUUCAUUUUUUUUUCUUCUGACCACCAGUCAGAAUAAUGCAGCAGCAGCAGAGACAGAGGAAGUACAAAGAAAGCUAUGGUAACUGGUGAGGACAAAAACUACAAAUAUGUUGAAAUCAAUAGAUAAACAUCUUUGAAAAAUAGCUUUUUAAAAAUUCCCUCUCAAAAUAAUUGAUUUUUUUUGUUAGCAAAAAUCUGCUUUCUUAUUUUUUCAACCUUCUACCACAUCCCAUUUUUAAUUUAAUACUCAUAUAUGCACUAUAUAAUUUUUUUCUCUCACGUUCUCCUCAUACAUCACCCCUUGUUUUCCCAAAGAACACCCCUUCCAUUUGUGCUCAAUAGUCAACUAGUUAUGUAUAAAAAGACUGAGACAAGAGCAAAUGGUUGCAAACAGUCUGAGCCUUAAAAACUGUCAUCUCACAGACUGGGAAGGUUUGACUGCUGAGUAAAAACAUGGAACAGCCUUUUACUAUCAAGGAAUCCUAACACAGCUGUGAUGACCAGACUCCUUCUAGGCUGCUGCUUUAGGAAAGCAGCUAGCACACAAUUGAGGAUGUGAAGCAGCUUCAAUUGCUAGCUAUGGGCUCUUUUUGGAGAGCAAAGAGAGGAGAGCUAUAGUCUUCAGUCCCCUGAGAGACCCACAACAGGGAGCAAGAUCAUUUGAAGGAUAAUAAAUCAUCUUGAAUAAGAGAAUCAAAAACUUAAGGAAGAACACAAUUCCUUGAUAAACAAAAUUGGGUAAAUGGAAGCUAAUGACAUUUUAAGACACCAAGAAAUAAUAAAACAAAAUCAAAAGAAUAAAUAAGAAAAUACAAGAGAAAGUGAAACGUCAUCAGAAAAACAACAGGUAUGGAGAACAAAUCAAGGAUAAGUAGUUUAAGAAGAGUCAAACUAUUUGAAAAUUACAAUUAAAAUGAAUCUUGAUACAAUAUUACCAAAAACAAUCAAGGAAAAUUGUGCUAAUGUUCUAUAAGAGGAAGGCAAAGCAGAAAUAGAAAAAAAAAAUCCACUAAUCACCACUUCAACUAGAUCUCAGGACGAAAACUAAAGAAUAUCAUAUCCAGCUUUCAAUACUUCCAGGUUAAGAAGAAAGCAUGGGAAGAAACAACAAUAACAAAAUUCAAUAUAAUGGAGUUAUAAUAAGAAUUCUACAAUAUCAACAGCCAUUAUAUUGAAGGACAUAAGUAUUGAAAUAUGUUUUGUAAAGUAAAAGACUUUAAAUUACAACCAAAGGUAAUUUAACCAAAAAUGCUAAUUAUUAUCUUGAAUGAAAAAAAAUUAUUCAAAGAUCUCAAAGACUUCCAGGUUUUUGUGACAAAAAUCUAGUAACUUAAGGUAAAUAUUAA
Sarcophilus harrisii (Tasmanian devil) is the source of this 1801-nucleotide long non-coding RNA. RefSeq lists it as uncharacterized. The transcript is spliced from 3 exons. The record is from RefSeq and is a predicted model, not a curated record. NCBI's taxonomy places the organism in Eukaryota, Metazoa, Chordata, Mammalia, Dasyuromorphia, Dasyuridae.